UUCACUCAUGAGAAUUUUUAUUAUUCUCUCUAAAAAGUCUGGUGUUUCCUAAUCCUUGUAAAGAGCAGGCUUGGGAACAGGUAAAGGGCUGGGUUGAGGAAAAAAAUACUGUUGAAAAGGAUAGUAAACUAGAGCCUGCUGUUUAAUGAAUAUAUACUCAUUCAGUGGAUAUAUUGGAUUUCAUAUUGCAGGUUCCAAAUUCUACUAAAAAAAGAACUCUAUUGGUUGACCGAGGAAAGAAAUCAAUACAUUUCCCAUUGGAAAUUCAUUGUAUAUGAUGUCCUGUUAUUACAUGGUCAGCAUGAUUAUCUUCUUUUGUUCAGAACAAUAGCACAAAUGAUUUAUAAGUAUUUUUCCUGAGUGUACUGUAUACCUGGUGAGGAUUUGUUUGGACACUGAGAUUUUUCUCUGAAUGAUCUUUGAACAUGCUAAAAAAUAGUUAAAAAUAGAAAGCCUAUAUUGCCAUCAGAUUUCAUGGGUGUCUCUUUCUUUAUUCUUUCCCUUCAUCUUUGACAGAACCACUCUCCCUACAUUGCAAAAGUGGUUCACACGUUUGAUAUUGCUUAAGACUAUAGCAAACAAGUCAACCUAGAAAGGUCCAACACUGAUAUCACACACAUUACUUGGAAUGUUGAUAUUGUCCUUUAAGACCAUUAACUUGACCCUCACUGUAUUACAGUAUAAACUGAGGAUAAAAUAGGUUUGGAAUACAGUUCAUGCUCCUGACACAGUGUUACUCACUGGAAAUGACAUAUUCACCUUAAAGCAGCCUUCCCUCUUUUUGAAGUACCAAGACCAUCGUGGAAUUUGAGGAAGAGGCAUAGGAUCUGACUUAAAUUGCUCUGUGUAGCACCACUGUAGCAUUUUCACAUUCCUUUCUCCCCAAGGAAAGAACUAUAACAAAACUAACUUUCUACUUAAUUAUCAGAUGCAAAUUGUUCUUUUCAUCUCUGUCCUCUAUUCCAAACUCACCACCUUCCUACUCUCAUACCUACAUAUUGAGUUUGCCUAGGCAAUAUUAGUAACCAUUUAUCCUGAACAUUAAACCUGCCUAAAUCCAAGGGAACACUGCUCAGCCAUGGCCCCAGCUUAAUCAGUUGUAUAGCCUGCACUUGCCAUUCAACCAUGAAUGUAAUACCUCUUUCUUUGGGACUUUUACUUUGAAUCUCAUUUUCCUUCCAGAGUCCUUGAUCAAAAAAAAAAUUUUUCUGAUUCUUUGUUACAAGAAUGCUUUCUCAGUCCUUCCUUACCAUCAGUUUUGAAACAAUAAGGUUCGCUGUCCUCUGCAAUAUACUCACUGUUUGGACCCUUGAGGUCUUUAUCACCAGUUUGUACUUGUCAAAAUCUGUAUUAAUAAGAGAUGGUUCCUCUAAGCCGUCUACUUCUUUGUAAGAGUGGGGCAACUGAGACCUAGAAGGAACCUGCAGUGCAAAUAAGUAGGACUUUUGAAGGCCUUGUGUGUAAUGUCUUCUCAGGUAAUCUAUUUUGUUUAUUUCCACUAGUUGCUAACAUCUACAGUAUGUACUGAUUCUUCAGAUUUAUCUUGCUUAAUCUAUCUAUCUAACUGUCCAUCUAUCUAUCUAUCUAUCUGUCUGUCUGUCUGUCUAUCUGUCUAUCUAUCUAUCUAUCUAUCUAUCUAUCUAUCUAUCUAUCUAUCUAUCUAUCACCGCCUUUGUUGUCUCUGCCUUUUUCUCCUUAUUUCUUUUUAUUACACUAAAUAUAUAAGCCAAGAUCAAGAGAAGCACAUUAUAUUUUUCAUUCAGUCUUUUAUCUAGGAUCCUCCAGAAUUUUCUUUCCUCAUGAACUAAACCUUGUUUCCCAAAUGUACUGAGAGAAUUACCAUUCAGAAUUUCAAUAUCAGAGCAACUAAAGAGAAGAAGAUGCAUGCUUGGGUGGAUAAUAAAUGCUGGCCAUCUUGGUCUAAACUUUCAAUCAAGUAUGAUACAGAAGAAACUAGCAUGAAAGAUGUGAAGUCUUUGGGAAGUGAUGCCUCAAGGUCAAAGUACAGGAACUGUUUUCCAAAAAUUAUGUGGUCAUAAGUCUAUUGUCUACCAAUUUCGCUAGUGACUUGAUUCACUCAAGUGGCCCUGAUUUUGCAGGCAUGGACACAUCAUUGACAACAGCUGACACUUGUCGUAGUGGCAGGGAUGGAUUUCUGAAGACAUGCCAGAAGAGACUACUUGUUCAAGUACAACUCAGUGACUGCAAGGGGCCAUCAGAGGUAUGUUCUCCUUCAGGGACACAGAAGAAUAAUGCAGGAUACAGGCACUGUGAAAAUUGCCACAUUUUCUUUCUUCAACCACCAUGGACCAGGCUGUCCUUCUGGCAUCUACAAUUGCAGAUUUCAAAGCACAGAAGCACAAGUCAAAGUUAUAGAGGAGAUACUUGUUUCAGUGCCACAGACUUUGUCAUCAAAUACUGUGUCAAUUAAAGGGUAAGGGGCAUGGUCUCAGUUGCCGUACACAACAUUUUCCUUUUUUUUUUAAAUAUUCACUACACUAUUUAGGCUGUCAGUAAAGAAGUUUGUUAUGAUGUAAAAACAAACUUCAAUAUAGUCUUCUUGUGAAGAAAUUUAGAUUGUAUCAGGGUUCACCAUAGGAUCCUGACAAUUCAUUUAUACCUGAAGAACUCGUGAAGGACCAAUUGGAGGGAAAUCAUUAAAUACUGAAGAAGACUGGGUAAAGAAAGAUCAGAGUGAUAAGACAUCAUCUUGAAAAGAUGAGGAAUGAAAAACACACAGACAAGCAGACAGGUGGAUUCUUGCUCAUAGAAAAAUGUUUCUUAUUAAAACAGAAUCAUAUAUGAAAAUAUACAUAUAUCCUAAACAAAAGACUAUGUGUACUGGAUGAAAAUUGAUUGAGGAAGAACACAAUGUCAUUUGUAGGGCAUAUAAGUGUUUUUAUGUUGUUAUUGCUGCUUGUUCUUGUUUCUGCUGUGACUCUGUUCCAGUAUACUUUCAGAGACAUAGCUCUAGAGCAUUGUACAUGUUUGUAAAAUGGUCUACUUGUGUUUAACAGUGUCAAUCCAAUAAUUCAAGAUUUUCUUUUUUUCAAAAGGAAGAUUUUCCCUUAUCAAACAUAUCUCCACUUUCCAAUAAAGAACCCUAAUAUUUUUUAUGAAUUCUAUUAUCAAAAACAAGUUUUGCCUGAACUCAUCAUAGUAAAAUAAAAUUAAAUGUAAAAUUGAUUAGAAGAUCCCUUUCACUGAAUUACUGGCACAGGUGUGGAGGGAUGCUGAAAUCUAUAACAAGUCUUAAGAGCCAGGUGAAUUCUAGACCCAUUGGAAAGGAUUAUGUCCUAGUCCUCAUAACAUGGGAUGUUGAAAACUGUUGAGAGAAUGUCUGUUCAGACAUUUCUGUCUGAGUAGUAUAUCAGUCUUUUCAUUUUCCGCAAUUUUCUCGUGGAGCCAAAAAUUGUAGGACAUAGUUGUAUAAACUGUUGUCAUGUGAUAAAUAAAGUACUUUCUCUUAUCUACGUAGAACUAUUACAUAUCUCUAGGUUCUUGCAGUCAAUCCUCAACCUGUGGACAAAAUGACUUACUCUCCAAUAUCCUCUGAAUAUGAUAGCAGUUUUCCAAACAUCUAACUCAUAUUUUAAGGAGGCCACUUUAAUAUUAAUAUUUUCCAUUUUUAUUAAAAUACCUCCCUCCUCCCCCAAAGGAAUUCUCGACCGUUAAAAGUACAAACUACUCAUUCAAGAAAACUGUUCAAUUAACACUACCUAUAUGUCUGCUUCCCAUAAUCUGUGAUGCAAGUGGAGAGGAGCUGAAGACUCACUCUCCUGUCCUCUUCAGACAUGUGCUCCAUAGAAAAAUAUUCAAAGAGUAAUAUACAGUAGCAAACAAUAAAAUACUCUUUUAAAAUAUUUGUCUUUGCAAUUGGCAAAUUUUUCUCAGCUUGCAGCUUUCUUUAUUGGAUAUAUUUUAUUUACUUUUCAAAUGUUAUCCCAUUUCCUGGAUUCCCAUCCAUAACGCAUCUAAGCCAUACCCCAUCCCACUUCUUCUAUGAGGGUGUUCCCCCACCAAACCACUCACCCAUCACCUCCCAACACUGAAAUUUCCAAACACUGAGCGGUCCAGCUGUGGCAGGACAAAGGACUUCUGCAUUCAUUGGUACCCAACAAGGCCAUCCCUGCUAUAUAUGCAUCUGGACCUAUGGGUCUAUCCAUGUGUACUCUUUGGAUGAUGACUUAGUGCCUGGGAGCUCUGGUUGGUCGGUAUUGUUGUUCCUAUGGAGUUGCAAACUCCUUCAGCUCCUUCAAUUCUUUGUUCAAUGCCUGCGAGGCAGACCACACUCUCAUUCUAUGGUUGGCUGUGAGCAUUUGCCUCUGAAUUUGACAAGCUCUAGUAGAGCAUCUCAGGAGACAGCUAUGUCAGGCUCCUUUCAGCAUGCAAUUCUCAGCACUAGCAAUAUUGUUGGGUUUGGUAGCUUUAUGUAUAUGGGAUGGAUCCCCAUGUGUGGCAGGUUCUGAGUGGCCAAACUUUAUCUCCCUAUCUCCUCCGAUGAAUACUUUUGUUCUUCCUUUUAAGAACAAUCCACACUUUGGUCCUCCUUCUUGAGCUUCAUUUGGUCUAUGGAUUGUACCUUUUGUAGUUCAAGCUUUUGGACUAAUAUCCACUGAUCAGUGAGUGCACAUCAUGUGUUUAUUUUUGUGAUUGUGUUACCUCACUCAAGAUGAUAUUUUCUAGUUCUAUAUUUGCCUAUGAACAUUAUGAAGUCAUUCUUUUUGAUAGCUGAGUAGAACUACAUUGUUUAGAUGUACUACAUUUUCUGUAUCCAUUCAUCUGUUGAAGGGCAUCUGUGUUAUUUCCAGGUUCUGACUGUUAUAAAUAAGGCUUCUAUGAACAUAGUGGGGCAUGUGUCUUUAUCAUAUGUUGGAGCAUGAUUUGGGUAUAUGCCCAGGAGAGGUAGAGCUGGGUCCUAGGAUAUUUAAAUGUCCUAUUUUCUGAGGAACAUCCAGACUUAUUUCCAGAGUGGUUAUACUAGUAGCAUUCCAUCAUCAAUGGAGGAGUGUUACUCUUUCUCCACAUCCUUGUCAGCAUCUGUUGUCACCUGAGUUUUAAUCUUAGCCAUUCUGACAGGUAUGAUUUGGAAUGUCAGGGUUCUUUUGAUUUGCAUUUCCCUGAUGACUAAGGAUGUUGAACAGUUCUUAGGUGCAUUUUGACCAUUUGAUAUUCCUCAGUUGAGAAUUCUUUGUUUAGUUCUGUACCCCAUUUCUAAUAGAAUUAUUUGGUUUUUUGAAGUCUAGCUUCUUGAUUUCUUUGUAUAUUUUGGAUAUUAGCCUCUAUCAGAUAUAAGAUUGGUAAAGAUCUUUUCCCAAUCUGUUCAUUGCCAUUUCGUCCCAAUGACAGUGUCAUUUGCCUUACAGAAGAUUUGCAAUUUUAUGAAGUUCCAGUCUUCCAUUCUUGAUCUUAGAAUAUAAGUCAUUGGUGUUUGUUCAGGAAAAUUUCCCCAGUGAAAAUGUGUUCGAGGAUCUUAACCACAUUUUUUCCAUUAGCUUGAGUGUAUCUGGUUUGAUGUGGAUGUUCUUGAUCCACUUGGACUUAAACUUUGUACAAUGCGAUAAGAAUGCAAAAAUUUGCAUUCUCCUACAUGAGGACCUCCUGUUGAAUCAGCACAAUUUGGUGAAAAUUCUAUCUUUUAUCCACUGGAUGGUUUUAGCUCCUUUGUCAAAGAUCAAGUGAACAUAGGCAAGUGGCUUCAUUUCUGAGACUUCAGUAAUAUUCAAUUGAACUACCUGCCUGUCUCUAUAGCAGUAACAUACAGUAUGUAUCAGAAUUAUUCUGCAAUACUGCCUGAGGUCAGGGAUGGGGAUUUCCACAAGAAGUUCAUUUAUUGUUAAGGAUAAUUUCCACUAUCCUGGGAUAUUUGCUAUUCAAAAUGGACUUGCAAAUUGUACUUUCUAACUCUAUGAAGAAUUGAGUUGGAAUUUUGAUGGGGAUUGCUUUUGGUAUUAUUCCCUGACAAACAAUCCUUGCUUACAUAUUAGUAAAAGAAUACUUUUAACCUCAUACAUAUGAGGUAUACAUGUUUCACUCUUGAGGAGAUAUAUUGUGCUAUAUAAUAUGUCUUGUGUUUCCUAAUUCUUGUAAUGAGAUACAUGGGGAACAGGUAUGAUGCUGAGUUUUAAGGAAAUAAAAUACUGUUGAAAGGAUAAUAAAUUAGAAACUGAUGCUUUAUUAAUAUAUAUUCAUUUAGUGUAUAUUCUGGAUUUCAUGAUGCAGUUUGAAAAUUUUAAAGAAGAAUUCUAUUUAUUGAAUGAGGAGAGAAUUCAAUAGAUAUCCCAUUAGUAAUGCACUGAAUUUGAUAUACUGUGAUUCAAGGCAAGCAUGCUUCAAUGCAUUAGACCAUCUUCCUCUGUCCAGAACAACAGUAUGAAGAAUUUAUAGCUUUGUUUUGUUUUUUUAUUGUUUUUAUUUUUUCAUGACCAUACUGUAUACCUGGUAAGGAGCUGGGUGAAAAUUCUGAGAUUUUUUUGAAUAGUAUUGUUAUUCAACAUGCUAACAAACAUUAGUUAAUAAAAGCAAAAACUAUGUUGCCAUCAGAUUUCAUAGGGGUAUCUUUCUUAAUUCUACCUUCCCUUCUCAAAUGAUUUAUUUCCUCUACUGACUAACAUUUUCAAAAUCUACUGACCUUGAGAUUUAUCCUGUUUAAUAUCUCUUCUCUCCUUCAAUCUCUCUCUCUCUGUCUCUCUGUCUCUCUGUCUCUCUGUCUCUGUGUGUGUGUGUGUGUGUGUGUGUGUGUGUGUGUGUGUGUGUCUUUCUAUCCUUAUCUCUGUUUCAUCACACUGGAUAUAAAAAAAGAAAUUAAGAGGAACACAUUGUAUUUUAUAUUCAUUCUUUUAGACACAAUCCUUCACAAUUUCCCUGUUUCUUGAAUGUACUGGAGGAAGUUUCAAUGCAAAAAUUUCAAUGCCAGAGCCAACAAAGUGAAGAAAUUCCUACCUUGGAUGGAUAAUAAAUCCUGGCCAUCUGAGUCUAAACAAUCACUCAAUGGUGAUAAAUAAGAGACUAGAAUCAUACAUUUGAAUGUUCUGGAAAGUCAUGCCUCAGGGUCAGCAUGCAGAAAUUGUGUUCCAAAAAUGUUGAGGCCAUAACUCUGUCACUCACUAGGAACUAGAUUCAACCAAGUGGCACUGUUAUGAAGGCAUUGAGACAUCAUGGUCAGCAGCUAAGGGUUGCCACUGCGUAGGAAGGACAGGUCUCCAGAAACAUGCCAGAUGAGUCUACAGGUUAAACUGCAGCCCAGUUGCUGAAAGGCAACCCACUUUUGGGGGGUUCAAGUAGCAUAGGAUGACCAGCAAUUUCAGUAGCAUCCAUGGUGUGGAGAGAGCCAUAACCUAGAAGAGCAGCUGCACAUAUGCAGCAAAGGGCCGAGCUAGAGAAG
This is a non-coding RNA of Rattus norvegicus (Norway rat), 7384 nucleotides long. NCBI's taxonomy places the organism in Eukaryota, Metazoa, Chordata, Mammalia, Rodentia, Muridae. The record is from RefSeq and is a predicted model, not a curated record.